RNAcentral lists this transfer RNA (77 nucleotides) under Gammaproteobacteria bacterium. Its description in RNAcentral is "tRNA-Val". It matches the Rfam family "tRNA". Rfam says of the family: Transfer RNA (tRNA) molecules are approximately 80 nucleotides in length. Their secondary structure includes four short double-helical elements and three loops (D, anti-codon, and T loops). The record is from RNAcentral. Lineage: Bacteria; Pseudomonadati; Pseudomonadota; Gammaproteobacteria.
AGGCGCGUAGCUCAGUUGGUUAGAGCACUACCUUGACAUGGUAGGGGUCGGUGGUUCGAAUCCACUCGCGCCUACCA